RNAcentral lists this transfer RNA (67 nucleotides) under bovine gut metagenome. It matches the Rfam family "tRNA". Rfam says of the family: Transfer RNA (tRNA) molecules are approximately 80 nucleotides in length. The record is from RNAcentral.
UGGUGUAGCUCAAUUGGCAGAGCGGCUGAUUUGUAAUCAGCAGGUUGCGGGUUCAAGUCCCUUCACC